This 30-nucleotide non-coding RNA is filed under the name Mus musculus (house mouse). Lineage: Eukaryota; Metazoa; Chordata; Mammalia; Rodentia; Muridae. The record is from RNAcentral.
UNUCAGGACUGACAAUGUCAAGGAUGUGGC